GUGGGGAAUAUUGCGCAAUGGGGGAAACCCUGAUGCAGCAACGCCGCGUGAGUGAUGACGGCCUUCGGGUUGUAAAGCUCUGUCUUUGGGGACGAUAAUGACGGUACCCAAGGAGGAAGCCACGGCUAACUACGUGCCAGCGGCCGCGGUAAUACGUAGGUGGCAAGCGUUGUCCGGAUUUACUGGGCGUAAAGGGAGCGUAGGCGGAUGUUUAAGUGGGAUGUGAAAUACUCGGGCUCAACUUGAGUGCUGCAUUCCAAACUGGAUAUCUAGAGUGCAGGAGAGGAAAGGAGAAUUCCUAGUGUAGCGGUGAAAUGCGUAGAGAUUAGGAAGAAUACCAGUGGCGAAGGCGCCUUUCUGGACUGUAACUGACGCUGAGGCUCGAAAGCGUGGGGAGCAAACAGGA
This 406-nucleotide ribosomal RNA is filed under the name uncultured bacterium. RNAcentral's name for it is "bacterial SSU rRNA". It matches the Rfam family "Bacterial small subunit ribosomal RNA", at positions 354 to 777 of the family's 1533-position model. The record is from RNAcentral.